AAAGGCCCCUUCGGGGGCCGAGUAGAGUGGCGUCCGGGUGAGUAACACGUAGGUAAUCUACCUCUGGGUGGGGAAUAACGACCGGAAACGGUCGCUAAUACCGCAUAAUGCAGCGGCACCACAUGGUGACAGUUGUUAAAGCGGGGGAUCGCAAGACCUCGCGCCUAGAGAGGAGCCUGCGGCGGAUUAGCUAGUUGGCAGGGUAACGGCCUACCAAGGCGACGAUCCGUAGCCGGCCUGAGAGGGCGGUCGGCCACACUGGCACUGACACACGGGCCAGACUCCUACGGGAGGCAGCAGUCGGGAAUUUUGGGCAAUGGGCGAAAGCCUGACCCAGCAACGCCGCGUGAAGGAUGAAGCUUUUCGGAGUGUAAACUUCAUAAGAAUGGGACGAAUAAGGAGGGGUUAAUACCCCCUUUGAUGACGGUACCAUUUGUAAGCUCCGGCUAACUCCGUGCCAGCAGCCGCGGUAAUACGGGGGGAGCAAGCGUUGUUCGGAUUUACUGGGCGUAAAGGGCGCGUAGGCGGCGCAACAAGUCACUUGUGAAAUCUCCGGGCUUAACCCGGAGCGGCCAAGUGAUACUGUCGUGCUAGAGUGCGGAAGGGGCUACUGGAAUUCUCGGUGUAGCGGUGAAAUGCGUAGAUAUCGAGAGGAACACCUGCGGCGAAGGCGGGUAGCUGGGCCGACACUGACGCUGAUGCGCGAAAGCCAGGGGAGCGAACGGGAUUAGAUACCCCGGUAGUCCUGGCCUUAAACGAUGGAUACUUGGUGUCCGGGGUUACAUAGU
Molecule: ribosomal RNA, 788 nt
Filed under: uncultured Bacteroidota bacterium
Lineage: Bacteria; Pseudomonadati; Bacteroidota
Description: bacterial SSU rRNA
Rfam family: Bacterial small subunit ribosomal RNA
Source: RNAcentral